RNAcentral lists this long non-coding RNA (654 nucleotides) under Hordeum vulgare. Its description in RNAcentral is "long non-coding RNA (HVUL_LNC010158)". The record is from RNAcentral. Lineage: Eukaryota; Viridiplantae; Streptophyta; Magnoliopsida; Poales; Poaceae.
GACAUUGUUGGCUGCGCUAGACAACUUGGCUACUAAUGUGCUUGUGCUCAAGUGUCAUGGCAGUCCUAAUAAGCAUAACAACCAGAACGAAUCAAGUGUCACUCAGAAACAGAGUUUCAGAUCAGAGGUAUCUUUCUUACAGAGGGAAACAACACCGGCGGAGGCUAGCAUUGGGCUGGGUUCAUGCGGGGCGUUGGGACGGGACGAGGCCGGGGCAGUUAAGCUUGCUCCAGCGAUGCGGUCAACGGCGGGGCGCUGGUCGGGCGACCGUGGCUCGUUCAUGACCUCCCUUCGAUCGGAGCCGACGACAAGGCACGAUGGGGAAGUGAUAGGCUAUGACGCCUGCAGAGACAGCGGAGAUGGGCCGGCAACGGCGGCGCGACUUGGCGGUAGUGCCGACGACGGCGACGCGACUUGGCGGUAGGGCCGACUCGCACGGGAGAGUCGGGGAUCUGUCUUGCUCCGGCGGAGGGGCGGCUAGCGGCGAAGGUGCGGGCGAGCCGGCGUCCAUGGCGGCGGUCCCUGAAAAAGAAAUGAAAGGGAGCCCCAAGGUGAGGGAGAGAGAGGAAACCAGUGGGAGGAGAAGGGAGAGGGCGCGAGCGAAGCAGCCGGUCUGGGCUCCUCCAGCAGCGGGACUUGCCGGCGCGGCUACUC